Long non-coding RNA from Scleropages formosus (Asian bonytongue), 935 nucleotides. RefSeq lists it as uncharacterized. The record is from RefSeq and is a predicted model, not a curated record. Lineage: Eukaryota; Metazoa; Chordata; Actinopteri; Osteoglossiformes; Osteoglossidae. The transcript is spliced from 7 exons.
UGCUGUCACAGCUGGAUGUUGUGGAUCACGCGCACACUCCUAUUUACUGCGCUCCCAACAUCUGGAUUUCAUCAUCAGAGCGCACCGCGCCCACAUUUACUCUGCUUUACUCUACACUCGGGUCUCUUUCGCAGUAAACCGGGGAAAGGAGAUGAUUAUAAUCAUGUGUUCGCUGCCGCCAGCAGCUCUGUGUCUCUUCGUGCUCCUCUUCACCGCUCUUCCGAGCCUCGUGACGGCCAACGUGGUCCAGGAGCGCGCCGCUCUUGAUGAAGAGAAAUUCCUUCGGCUCAGUUGUGGAACAUACCAAGAAAAUUAUGAUGUGAUCUGGAAAAAAGAAGGGCAAGAAGUUGCUAGCGUAAAGAAGGGAAUCAAAUCACUGCAGGAAAAUUUUGGCUUAACAGAGCGUGGAACCCUUGUGGUGUCCGAAGUGCGCAGGUCCGACGCAGGAGAAUACACCGCGAUGCUGCUUGACAGCUCGCAAAACAAAUUGUGUGAAAUGACUGUGCAGCUGAGUGUGUCAGAUUCCAGUGACCCCCCACCUGAGCCAACAAAGAAACCUGAGAAAAGCCCACCUAAAGAUCCCAAAGCACCACCCCCCCAUAAGCCAAAACCUGGACUGGCCAAACCUAGAGCUUCUGCUUCCAUCAUCACUGCAAGCAUCUCUGCUCAUGUGAUACUGUUAUUGGUGUGGAUUUUGGUGUGAAAAGGUUCCAGGCCAUGAUUUCCACACCUUGAGAAUUCCCAGGUCAGUCUCAGAGACGAGAAGGUGGAGGAGGGGAAGUGGAGGCACGGCGAAAGCGCAGAAGCUGAAAAUGGACCCAUAAUUCUUUACGAAUGCACCUGACUGUGGUAAAACUGAAGAGCGUUACUUGCCUUUUAUUUUGAAACAGCUCCUUGUGUGUUUUUUUAAAAAAUUAACAUUUUAUUUGUUAAAA